UUCGAACCUGCAGCAGGUUCGGGUCUCACGAAGUGAGACAACGGAGUCGUUUACGGCGAUGGCCCGAAGGGCGAGCGUAGCGAGUCAUCCUGCACGCCCCACCA
This 104-nucleotide small RNA is filed under the name Citrobacter freundii. Its description in RNAcentral is "partial RtT sRNA". It matches the Rfam family "RtT RNA", at positions 23 to 130 of the family's 130-position model. Rfam says of the family: This family represents a bacterial cis-regulatory element known as RtT RNA. The record is from RNAcentral. Lineage: Bacteria; Pseudomonadati; Pseudomonadota; Gammaproteobacteria; Enterobacterales; Enterobacteriaceae.